CGCGGAGUGGAGCAGUUGGCAGCUCGUCGGGCUCAUAACCCGAAGGUCGUAGGUUCAAGUCCUGCCUCAGCAACCA
RNAcentral lists this transfer RNA (76 nucleotides) under Clostridioides difficile. RNAcentral's name for it is "tRNA-Met". It matches the Rfam family "tRNA". Rfam says of the family: Transfer RNA (tRNA) molecules are approximately 80 nucleotides in length. Their secondary structure includes four short double-helical elements and three loops (D, anti-codon, and T loops). The record is from RNAcentral. Lineage: Bacteria; Bacillati; Bacillota; Clostridia; Peptostreptococcales; Peptostreptococcaceae.